UACAGAGGUCUCAAGCGUUGUUCGGAUUCAUUGGGCGUAAAGGGUGCGUAGGCGGCGCGGUAAGUCGGGUGUGAAAUCUCGGAGCUUAACUCCGAAACUGCAUUCGAUACUGCCGUGCUUGAGGACUGGAGGGGAGACUGGAAUUUACGGUGUAGCGGUGAAAUGCGUAGAUAUCGUAAGGAAGACCAGUGGCGAAGGCGGGUCUCUGGACAGUUCCUGACGCUGAAGCACGAAGGCCAGGGGAGCAAACGGG
RNAcentral lists this ribosomal RNA (253 nucleotides) under uncultured bacterium. RNAcentral describes it as "partial 16S ribosomal RNA". It matches the Rfam family "Bacterial small subunit ribosomal RNA", at positions 524 to 776 of the family's 1533-position model. The record is from RNAcentral.